GACGAACGCUGGCGGCGUGCUUAACUCAUGCAAGUCGAACGGAAAGGCCCUGCUUGCAGGGUACUCGAGUGGCGAACGGGUGAGUAACACGUGGGUGAUCUGCCCUGCACUUCGGGAUAAGCCUGGGAAACUGGGUCUAAUACCGGAUAGGAGCCAUUUUUAGUGUGAUGGUUGGAAAGUUUUUUCGGUGUAGGAUGAGCUCGCGGCCUAUCAGCUUGUUGGUGGGGUAAUGGCCUACCAAGGCGGCGACGGGUAGCCGGCCUGAGAGGGUGGACGGCCACAUUGGGACUGAGAUACGGCCCAGACUCCUACGGGAGGCAGCAGUGGGGAAUAUUGCACAAUGGGCGCAAGCCUGAUGCAGCGACGCCGCGUGGGGGAUGACGGCCUUCGGGUUGUAAACUCCUUUCGCUAGGGACGAAGCUUUUUGUGACGGUACCUAGAGAAGAAGCACCGGCUAACUACGUG
This 465-nucleotide ribosomal RNA is filed under the name uncultured bacterium. Its description in RNAcentral is "partial 16S ribosomal RNA". It matches the Rfam family "Bacterial small subunit ribosomal RNA", at positions 28 to 507 of the family's 1533-position model. The record is from RNAcentral.